Molecule: long non-coding RNA, 1256 nt
Organism: Amblyraja radiata (thorny skate)
Lineage: Eukaryota; Metazoa; Chordata; Chondrichthyes; Rajiformes; Rajidae
Exons: 3
Source: RefSeq, a predicted model, not a curated record
ACACUGGAGGGUGCCCCAGUGGUGGGGCCGUUACUCCCCACCAUCACAGGGAUCUACAGGUGCUGCCUCAAAAAGCCAGACAUUAUAUUCAAUUAGCCACACCACCCUGGCAACUCACUGCUACCACCUGAAAGAAGGUACAGGAGCCUGAAAACCAUGAGCUCCAGGUUCAAGAACAGACUCUUGAGCCACCCUGGCCAACCCUACCUUAACCCCAGACUACUAUGGACUUGAGACUGCUAUGCUUGCACUAUUGUGGUCUGGUUUACCAAGUAUAAUUGAGAAUGUAUAGUAUAUUGGUGUCUUUUAUGCAUCAACGAGCCUGUAAAGCUGCAGUAAGUAAGAAUUUCAAUGGUCCCAGUUCAUAUAGCACUGAAACAUCCUUGACACUUGAAGCAAUCAAAUUGUGAGUCACACAGGCUAUCUCUGCCCAUUGUAUCUCUCUGCCCCUUGUGACACAAGAGCCAUUACAGUGUUCCAAAGUUCUCCCCUGGCAAUAACGUACUUGAAGUGUAAUGACAGGAAAUCUGGCAGCAUUGACUGCCCAGCAGGUUUUUCCACAAAGAACAAUACGAUCAUUUAAUCUGGAGCAAAACACAAGGUGCUGGAGGAACUCCGCCGGUCAUGCAGCAGGAGAAAUGGCCAGGUGAUGCUUCGGGUUGGGACCCUCCUUCAGAUCUUCCGUAUUUCUCUGUCAAGGAGUCAUCGCCUAUCUACCAGGAUCUUUUUAAUCAUGUUUUUAUUGUCGUUGGAUAUUGUAGGAUAUAAUGCUCAAACUAAAGCUUUGGGAUUUUUUUACAGCCACCAGUGAGCAAGCUGACAGUCUUGUAUUCAAAAGCUGAACAUGCUGGAAAAACUCACCAAGUCAGAUAGCAGAAAUGUAUUGUUUCAGGUCUAACCCCUUGUCAGAACUGGCAACCUGAAAAGUUACUUGUUUCUACUGCCACAGAUGCCGCCUAACCUGCUGUGUGUCUCCCGCAUUUCCUGCCUUUGCUUUGAAUCUGCAGGCUUCUGGAGAUUUAUGUAUUGUAACAUCUGAUCUGAUUGAAGGCACUGUGCAGCGUUCUUCCAAUAUUGCAAUAUAUUGAUUACAUGGUGCAUUGUUGGGUGUGGGACCUGAACCUUCAACCUACAACAAUGCUUUCAGGAAUGUAGAGCGGAAAUCUGUUGAUUUAAAAUGGCGAACAAGUUGGAGGCACAAGAAGCCGCUGACGGUGGAAUCUUGAGCAAAACACCAAGUGCUGGAGGAGGCAGUA